GGUUAAGCGACUAAGCGUACACGGUGGAUGCCCUGGCAGUCAGAGGCGAUGAAGGACGUGCUAAUCUGCGAUAAGCGUCGGUGAGGUGAUAUGAACCGUUAUAACCGGCGAUUUCCGAAUGGGGAAACCCAGUGUGUUUCGACACACUAUCAUUAACUGAAUCCAUAGGUUAAUGAGGCGAACCGGGGGAACUGAAACAUCUAAGUACCCCGAGGAAAAGAAAUCAACCGAGAUUCCCCCAGUAGCGGCGAGCGAACGGGGAGGAGCCCAGAGCCUGAAUCAGUGUGUGUGUUAGUGGAAGCGUCUGGAAAGGCG
Molecule: ribosomal RNA, 315 nt
Filed under: Escherichia coli
Lineage: Bacteria; Pseudomonadati; Pseudomonadota; Gammaproteobacteria; Enterobacterales; Enterobacteriaceae
Also listed under: 1 other name
Description: partial 23S ribosomal RNA
Rfam family: Bacterial large subunit ribosomal RNA
Source: RNAcentral